CCAAUGGAAGGGAACACUUAGUGGCGGACUGGUGAGUAACGCGUGAGGAACCUGCCUUUCAGAGGGGGACAACAGUUGGAAACGACUGCUAAUACCGCAUGAAGCAUACGGAUCGCAUGGUCUGUAUGCCAAAGAUUUAUCGCUGAAAGAUGGCCUCGCGUCUGAUUAGCUAGUUGGUGGGGUAACGGCCCACCAAGGCGACGAUCAGUAGCCGGACUGAGAGGUUGAACGGCCACAUUGGGACUGAGAUACGGCCCAGACUCC
This 264-nucleotide ribosomal RNA is filed under the name uncultured Oscillibacter sp. RNAcentral's name for it is "partial 16S ribosomal RNA". It matches the Rfam family "Bacterial small subunit ribosomal RNA", at positions 75 to 339 of the family's 1533-position model. The record is from RNAcentral. Lineage: Bacteria; Bacillati; Bacillota; Clostridia; Eubacteriales; Oscillospiraceae.